CCAGCGUCCACCGCGGCGUUCACGUACGUGUCUAUAUACGGAAGAGGGCGUGUCUUCACCCUGAACCAGCUCGGUGAAAAAGCCAGUCGUCCUGCUCCAUGGGGAGAGAUGGGCUGAGACUCAGAGGACACCACCGACACCGCCGGACCGUCAGUGCUGCAGCCACAGACCGGGGCACUCCGGAAUUCUUCCCAGUUCCACUUGCCCUUGCUCCUCUCCACUCCUGGCCCCAGCAGGCCAGGGAAUGUCCCGGCAGCGAGAUGCCUUACGUGGACCGACAGAACCGCAUCUGUGGCUUCCUGGACAUCGAGGAAAAUGAAAGCAGCGGCAAGUUCCUGCGGCGCUACUUCAUACUGGACACACAGCAGGGAAGCCUGGUGUGGUUUAUGGACAACCCUCAGAACCUGCCUGUUGGUACUGACUGCGUUGGUUCUCUCAAGCUCACCUACAUCUCUAAGGUCAGCGAUGCCACAAAGCUGAGGCCUAAAGCAGAGUUCUGCUUUGUCAUCAAUGCCGGGAUGAGGAAGUUCUUCCUGCAGGCCAAUGAUCAGCAGGACCUCGUGGACUGGGUCAACGCUCUCAAUAAAGCCACUAAAAUCACUGUGCCAAAGUCGUAUGAUGGCCAACAGAAUACAGAGAACCAGAAGGUUUUGCCAGAUGUCACGGGACCAAAGAAACAAGUGUCUUAUAAGACAGAGAUAAUUGGAGGAGUCCCCAUCGUCACCCAGACACAGCGUGAUGGCGGUGACGGGGCAGACAGAGCAGAGCGAGAUGCCAUGCAGCGCUCUCACAGCCAGCUGCCGUACUUCCUGAGCAGGCCGACUCAAGAACACAGUGUCAUUAAGUCAGGUUACUGUGUCAAACAAGGAGCUGUGAUGAGGAACUGGAAACGUCGAUAUUUCCUACUGGAGGAAAACUCAAUGAGUUACUUCAAGUCUGAUUUGGAGAAAGAGCCUCUGAGAAUGAUCCCCCUGAAGGAAGUUCAUAAAGUCCAGGAGUGCAAACAGAGUGACAUUAUGAUGAGGGAUAAUCUGUUUGAAGUCGUCACCACAUCAAGGACAUUUUACAUACAGGCGGACAGUCCAGAGGAGAUGCACAGCUGGAUCAAGGCUGUCUCAGGGGCCAUUGUGGCCCAGCGGGGGCCUGGGAGGUCUGCUGCCACAAUGCGGCAGGCCAGACGGCUGUCGAACCCCUGUAUACAGAGGUAUACGUCCCGAAUCGGGGAGUGCAGCAGCACAGAUUGAAAUCUGACAAUGAAAGGCUGUGAAAUAAUGAUCAAGAACCAACCACUGCUUCCUAAGACACUCUGCUCUUCCACUGCAACCUGUUGAGACUACCAAAACUAAAACCUGCUGACACUACUACCACUGCUACCGCUACCUCUACUACUCCUACUACUACUGCUACUUCUUCUGCUACUACAGCCACCAUCUCCACUCUCUUGCAAUGCUACAUUCUUCAGCACCUACAUCCCUAAAGCUGCAUCAGGCCCCACAUGCUGGUGCUGAUUCCAAGAACAUGGCAGCCGUUCCACUUUCUACCGUAUCUCAUCGGGCCCCCCCGUCCCUCGCUCGCCCAUAUCUGCCAUGCCACCAUGCUACCCAGAGUGGGGGGCUGCUGUCACGUGCGGCACACGCACACAGCCUGGCGUGGGACAGCGAGCACUUCAUGAGCCUGCUGCCACGGCCCAGUCACAGCCACACGCCAGCACGCCUGUCCCUGCAGGAGACACGUCUGGCAAAGUGACCU
Non-coding RNA from Paralichthys olivaceus (Japanese flounder), 1749 nucleotides. NCBI's taxonomy places the organism in Eukaryota, Metazoa, Chordata, Actinopteri, Pleuronectiformes, Paralichthyidae. The record is from RefSeq and is a predicted model, not a curated record.